RNAcentral lists this ribosomal RNA (253 nucleotides) under uncultured bacterium. Its description in RNAcentral is "partial 16S ribosomal RNA". It matches the Rfam family "Bacterial small subunit ribosomal RNA", at positions 524 to 776 of the family's 1533-position model. The record is from RNAcentral.
UACGGAGGGUGCAAGCAUUAUCCGGAAUCACUGGGUUUAAAGGGUGCGUAAGCGGCUGUAUAAGUCAGAGGUGAAAGCCCGGAGCUUAACUUCGGAACUGCCUUUGAUACUGUAUAGCUUGAAAUAGGUUGAGGUCAGCGGAAUGUGGCAUGUAGCGGUGAAAUGCAUAGAUAUGCCAUAGAACACCAAUUGCGAAGGCAGCUGGCUAAACCUUAUUUGACGCUGAGGCACGAAAGCGUGGGGAGUGAACAGG